ACAGCCAUAGGUUGCCAAAGUGGCAGCUUGCUAGUCCUCUGCCCAUGCACCUUUGGUACCGAGCCUGACGAAAGGUGCGUGGUCAGAUGUUCCGCCAAGCCCGAGCCUCCUUUGUCUCCACGGCCCUUGUCUCCAAUGCCUUUCUCCCCCAUCUAGCACACCACUCAUCCCUUUCUUCUCUCUCUGAUCCAUCCACCUUCUCUCCCUGCUCCAUUGAUCUUCUUCUCUCUCCCAUAGUUCCACUUGGUGCAGGCUUCUAGCCCGCCCUCAACCCUUUUCCUCUCGUUCCUCCACCGUCGUUCGACGUAGCCUUACCCGAUGGUGACCAGAUCCGUGGUCUCCUAUACACCAUCGCCAGUCCAGGAGAGAUGCAUCUUCCAGGGAGUCCCCCUCCCCCCCUCCCCCCUCGUGCGGCUCGGCCGUUCAGGUCUAACAGAUGGGCUGUGAGUUUGGACUUGGCAUGGCCGCCGCGCAGUCCGCCGUUGCGCUGUGUGCCCAAACUACCGACUGCGUCGAGUCGGCCUCCGCUGUCUCCCGCUCUGCGUCGGCAACUUGGCAUCCCGUCUCUCGUCUCCCGCAGGACCAUGGACUUCGCAGUGCGCCAGCGCCGGCGUCAUCGACCACAACAAUGCUGAUGCUGCCAGGGACGUGUACUGGAGUGGAGGCUCUAGAUUAUCCAAGAUGAUUCCCACUUUCACAUCAAUGUUCCCAAGUACUUACUAGUAUGGUUUAGGCUGUUGCUGCUGUAAUCAACUAUGAACUGCCACUUUGAGUUGUGAUAUUUCCGGUGUGAUCUCCAUCCAGGACCAGGAUUGUACAUUUGAAUUUCUGAUCUGAGGUGGAUCACGAAAUAAGAGUUGAUAGCGAAAUAUAUGAACAUCCAUGCAUCCUCAA
Triticum aestivum (bread wheat) is the source of this 894-nucleotide long non-coding RNA. RefSeq lists it as uncharacterized. The transcript is spliced from 2 exons. The record is from RefSeq and is a predicted model, not a curated record. NCBI's taxonomy places the organism in Eukaryota, Viridiplantae, Streptophyta, Magnoliopsida, Poales, Poaceae.